GUCUUAGCUUGCUAAGACUGAUGGCGACCGGCGCACGGGUGCGUAACGCGUAUGCAACUUGCCUCACAGAGGGGGAUAACCCGUCGAAAGACGGACUAAUACCGCGUACACUUAGGAUAGGGCAUCCUAUCCCAAGGAAAUGAAAUUCGCUGAGAGAUAGGCAUGCGUCCCAUUAGCUAGUUGGUGAGGUAACGGCUCACCAAGGCGACGAUGGGUAGGGGAACUGAGAGGUUGAACCCCCACACUGGUACUGAGACACGGACCAGACUCCUACGGGAGGCAGCAGUGGGGAAUAUUGGUCAAUGGGCGAGAGCCUGAACCAGCCAAGUCGCGUGAAGGAUGACUGUCUUUUGGAUUGUAAACUUCUUUUAUACGGGAAUAACAAGAGUCACGUGUGACUCCCUGCAUGUACCGUAUGAAUAAGCAUCGGCUAACUCCGUGCCAGCAGCCGCGGUAAUACGGAGGAUGCGAGCGUUAUCCGGAUUUAUUGGGUUUAAAGGGUGCGUAGGCGGCCUGUUAAGUCAGCGGUGAAAUCUAGGAGCUUAACUCCUAAAUUGCCAUUGAUACUGGCGGGCUUGAGUGUAGAUGAGGUAAGCGGAAUGCGUGGUGUAGCGGUGGAAUGCAUAAAUAUCACGCAGAACUCCGAUUGCGAAGGCAGCUUACUAAGGUACAACUGACGCUGAAGCACGAAAGCGUGGGUAUCAAACAGGAUUAGA
This 716-nucleotide ribosomal RNA is filed under the name uncultured Bacteroidota bacterium. RNAcentral describes it as "bacterial SSU rRNA". It matches the Rfam family "Bacterial small subunit ribosomal RNA", at positions 72 to 782 of the family's 1533-position model. Lineage: Bacteria; Pseudomonadati; Bacteroidota. The record is from RNAcentral.